AUUUAAAUAAUUUAACCAAAAAUUUAAUAUUGAAAAUAUUAAUAUAGAAUAAAAUUUCUUUUAAAUA
This 67-nucleotide transfer RNA is filed under the name Trissolcus basalis. RNAcentral describes it as "tRNA-Phe". The record is from RNAcentral. Lineage: Eukaryota; Metazoa; Arthropoda; Insecta; Hymenoptera; Scelionidae.